Triticum urartu is the source of this 2179-nucleotide non-coding RNA. NCBI's taxonomy places the organism in Eukaryota, Viridiplantae, Streptophyta, Magnoliopsida, Poales, Poaceae. The record is from RefSeq and is a predicted model, not a curated record.
CCGUCACCAGGUGUGUGUUAAGGGAGGAUCGGACACGCGUGUGCCAGGGAGGAUGCUGCCACCACGCUCUUCGAAGAUGUGCGGAGUCGUCGUGCCUGUACGGUUGACACCUCUACCACCGUCGCUGCCUUCGAGGAGGAUUCGUGCCUGCAUCUUAAUGUUCGCCAAGCCCAUUACAUCGCUGGUUCAGGACACACAACAAAACAAAUCUGAACCUCAGCGACAUAUUUGCUGGGAGAGAAAGAGGAUAAAAAGUGCUGGUCCUCUUCACAGGAUAGACCUUUUAUGUAUCAUGUAUCCAAGCAGGCUGCAUGUGAGGUGAAUCAAGGUAACUAUAUGAUCUAGUGAAGUAUAAACUCCUCUCCCUAUAAUAUGCAGCCUUCAAACCAUAGAUUUGUGAAUUUUAUGCCAGCUGGGCCUCUUUCAUUUUAAUGCUUGAGUCCUAAUAUUUCAUUUCUCCAAGCUUUUGAGUUCUAAUAUUGUUCUGUAUUAUGAGCUCUUGAACAUUUGCUUGCACAACAAUGAUCUAUAAUAAUUCCCUUCUAAGCCUAGAGAUAGUUGUACACAUCAUUUAUUCAAUCCUAAAUUACUCUAUGCUCUGAAUUACUCCCGUGGUGCAUUUUAUGUCCCCCUUACAUCUAUAUCUAUGUCUUCUUACUCAUAUACAUGCUUUCCCAUGUAAUCAUCCUUAACAAUUGUCAUGUUCAAUCUGUAACUACUUAUCAGGGUAUUUUCUGAUUUUCUUAUGUUGCCGCUUACUGAUCUUACGACAUGGAGAGGAGAGGCCAAGUAGCAGCAAGCAUGCAGCUGUGUCAUGCAAACAAACUGAUACUGCAGAAAGUCACUGAUUGUACAAAACCAGAAAAACAAAUUGCAGCGCAAGCAUGCAAAGAGACAAUUGCGCGAAUCAAACACAUAUUCAAAUAAUAAGGCAAUGAGAGGCUUUAUAUUAGGCGGUGUACUGCAACAAGGUGCCUCCCUCCAUCAUCAUUCCAUUCUUCUCCUGUUUCCUAUCUGUCAGCCGCACCUACAACCGGUGCCCCAAUCUAGCUCGACAAUUGACGGCGGCUACAUCUGUUGUGGCCGGCAGCGAGGCAAGCCCUCCUUCUAAACCAUGUAUGUUGAUUUCAAAUAGUAGAACUAAUUCAUACUUUGAAGUUGUUUGUUAAUCAGGCUUCCAUGGACGUUGAUUUCCAUUAAACAGUAUUUUGCGAACUUCUUGUUCUCUGCAAAUUUUGGAUGCCGCCGGUCAGUGUGACGCCCAAAUCCUGGUGGCGAGUCUUUUUCUAAUUGAGAGAAUUAUUUAGGAUCCCGGUCUGGAAAACUAGAUGGUGUAUGGAUUCAGAGAUGAACAUGACGAACAAUAGAAGGUCGAUUUGGAUUAUUCUUGGUCCAUAACUUUCAAUUAUUCCACUGCCACACAACUGUGCUUGUGCUGGCAGGGAGAGGAGGAGAAGUAAGGCGUUGUGGGCAGGGACUGGCUGUGGGUACAAGAAGGCCAGAUAUGAGAUGGUGGAAAGGAUGCACGCAGGAGAAGAGAACAGACUGCAACGGAAGGCAGUUUGAGAUGUAGUAGUGGACGCCUCUUCCAUGAUAUUCAGCAAUCUGCGUGUUCAGUGAUGCCGCACACGUCCUCUCAUCUCGUCACGAACGGCCUAGAUGUGGCAGCUGCCGUCAACAUCCCAACCGUCACCAGCACGACGUGUUGAAUGACAUUGGCAUCGUCUCACUGGGGCAGCAGCUCAACACCGGCAUUAUUCUGAGAACAAUUGUCACUGAAUUGCUUUCAAGGCGGAUGUUCCAUAGACAAACAAGCAUGCAAUCAACACUGCAUGAUUUCAAUUGGUUUCCAAUCCUGGAGAGAAGGAACGAUAUGAGCUAAAAGAUGCAGAAAAAGAGGAUUAGGCCCGCAGAUUGUUAUCAAGGAGAACAUUGAGCUAUGAGGGUGUUUUUUCGGGCAACACCGGCGAUGGUCUCAGCAGCUAUAUGAUGGUGAACUGUAGCUGUCGUAAUAUUCUGAGAAAUAUAUUAUGAUUAAUUUUUACUUACCUAUCCGAUUUUUUUUCAUUGCGAUGAUCUGAUAGGCCCCAUAUAGGUGUCUGGAUUGUAAUAGGUAUUUUUCUGGGUUAAGAAGGAAGAAUGUUUCGGGUGUUCAUUAAGAUUAUUCUUGAUUGGUGAA